UCCCAGUUCGGAUUGUAGUCUGCAACCCGACUACAUGAAGCUGGAAUCGCUAGUAAUCGCGAAUCAGAAUGUCGCGGUGAAUACGUUCCCGGGUCUUGUACACACCGCCCGUCACACCAUGGGAGUCGGAAAUGCCCAAAGUCAGUGACCUAACCGAAAGGGAGGAGCUGCCGAAGGUGGAGCCGGUAACUGGGGUGAAGUCGUAACAAGGUAUC
This 215-nucleotide ribosomal RNA is filed under the name uncultured bacterium. RNAcentral describes it as "partial 16S ribosomal RNA". It matches the Rfam family "Bacterial small subunit ribosomal RNA", at positions 1286 to 1500 of the family's 1533-position model. The record is from RNAcentral.